RNAcentral lists this ribosomal RNA (402 nucleotides) under uncultured eukaryote. RNAcentral describes it as "SSU rRNA". It matches the Rfam family "Eukaryotic small subunit ribosomal RNA", at positions 567 to 972 of the family's 1831-position model. The record is from RNAcentral.
CCAGCAGCUGCGGUAAUUCCAGCUCCAAUAGCGUAUAUUAAAGUUGUUGCGGUAAAAAAGCUCGUAGUUGGAUUUCUACCGAAGAUAGCCGGUCGGGUCUUCGACCUUGUAUCUGGUUUUGUCUUUGGUAUCCUCAUGGGGAACGUUGCUGCGCUUCACUGCGUGGUGCGGUAUCCAUGACUUUUACUUUGAGGAAAUUAGAGUGUUCACGGCAGGCAAACGCCCUGAAUAUAUUAGCAUGGAAUAAUAACAUAGGAUCUUCGUCCUAUUUUGUUGGUUUCUAGGGCUAAGAUAAUGAUUAAUAGGGAUAAUUGGGGGCAUCUGUAUCAACGCGUCAGAGGUGGAAUUCUUGGAUUGCGUUGCGACAAACUACUGCGAAAGCAUUUGCCAAGGAUGUUUUCA